RNAcentral lists this long non-coding RNA (289 nucleotides) under Populus trichocarpa (black cottonwood). RNAcentral describes it as "long non-coding RNA (PTRI_LNC001332)". The record is from RNAcentral. Lineage: Eukaryota; Viridiplantae; Streptophyta; Magnoliopsida; Malpighiales; Salicaceae.
CGCCGCUGCUGCCUGUAGACCGACAGAUUCCAGGGAAAAAACAGGCGGAACACCAUCGUCGCUGCCGGUGAAUAUACCGGACUGGUCGAGGAUAUUGAAGAACGAGUACCGAAGGGGAUCUGACGUUGUUGAUGAUCGUGGUGAUGUUGAUGAUGAUGAUGAUGAUGUGGACGGUGAUGAUUAUUUUGAUGGCGGAGUGAGGGUCCCACCUCACGAGUUAUUGGUGAGGCAGAUGGCUAGGUCAAGGAUCGCAUCCUUCUCGGUUCAUGAAGGAAUAGGGAGGACUUUG